CCUACGGGGGGCAGCAGUGAGGAAUAUUGGUCAAUGGCCGGAAGGCUGAACCAGCCAAGCCGCGUGAAGGACGAAGGUGCCAAGCAUUGUAAACUUCUUUUGUCAAGGGACAAACUCAGGCACGAGUGCCUGACUGAGGGUACCUGAAGAAAAAGCAUCGGCUAACUCCGUGCCAGCAGCCGCGGUAAUACGGAGGAUGCGAGCGUUAUCCGGAUUUAUUGGGUUUAAAGGGUGCGUAGACGGUUUGUUAAGUCAGUUGUGAAAGUCUGCGGCUCAACCGUGGAAUUGCAGUUGAUACUGGCAGUCUUGAGUACAGGUGAGGUAGGCGGAAUGCGUGGUGUAGCGGUGAAAUGCUUAGAUAUCACGCAGAACCCCGAUUGCGAAGGCAGCUUACUAAACUGUGACUGACAUUGAGGCACGAAAGUGUGGGUAUCAAACAGGAUUAGAUACCCUGGUAGUC
This 460-nucleotide ribosomal RNA is filed under the name uncultured bacterium. RNAcentral's name for it is "partial 16S ribosomal RNA". It matches the Rfam family "Bacterial small subunit ribosomal RNA", at positions 338 to 795 of the family's 1533-position model. The record is from RNAcentral.